RNAcentral lists this ribosomal RNA (217 nucleotides) under Bacteroides fragilis. RNAcentral's name for it is "partial 16S ribosomal RNA". It matches the Rfam family "Bacterial small subunit ribosomal RNA", at positions 150 to 368 of the family's 1533-position model. Lineage: Bacteria; Pseudomonadati; Bacteroidota; Bacteroidia; Bacteroidales; Bacteroidaceae. The record is from RNAcentral.
UUCGAAAGAAAGAUUAAUACCCGAUAGCAUAAUGAUUCCGCAUGGUUUCAUUAUUAAAGGAUUCCGGUAAAGGAUGGGGAUGCGUUCCAUUAGGUUGUUGGUGAGGUAACGGCUCACCAAGCCUUCGAUGGAUAGGGGUUCUGAGAGGAAGGUCCCCCACAUUGGAACUGAGACACGGUCCAAACUCCUACGGGAGGCAGCAGUGAGGAAUAUUGGU